Lingula anatina is the source of this 314-nucleotide long non-coding RNA. The record is from RefSeq and is a predicted model, not a curated record. Lineage: Eukaryota; Metazoa; Brachiopoda; Lingulata; Lingulida; Lingulidae.
UAACCUUAAACCCCUUUUAGAAAUAAACUCAACCAUCGGGAAACCCGCCGGUGCGCGCCAUUUACAACUGCAAGUGCUGUAACAUCUACCUCCAUGGAGAGCAAUUUAAAAGACCAUCAAGAGGUUACUCCUGUGCUGAAAGAGAUGGAGCUGUCUUCAAGUCCAGUAAGACCAGUAAAAGAUAGUAAAAGAAGGAAGUUGAACAGUGAGAAGUCAACUCCCACUGUACAAGAUAACCGGAGACCAUCAACUCGUGUAAGAACUCUCAAGGAAUUCUUCAAAAGCCCCGAAGAAGCCAAAGAGCCGUUGGUCAA